GGGGGUGUUCCGGUUUCGCCUGUAUAUGGAUUGCUUCAGUAGCAGGUCGAGGACUCCUUUCACUCGUAAAACACUGGAAAUUAAAAUUAUCUGCAAACGAUAACAAUUACGCUUUAGCAGCUGCGUAAGCAUGCUAAACGCUCGGCUGUGCUUUUGUCUGCAGGGCCGGUUGGGUGUCAUAAAUGGCAGACUACCAAUUAUCUGAUGACUGUAGGAUAUUUGGGAAUUUAACAGUCUAGUAAUACUGGACCCUGUCUGUUGGGGACGGUAUUAUUAAAUAAAAAAACAGACUACAUCCGUAGAAGCUGGGGUAUGAAAUAUGCAGUACGCGGGUUCGAAUCCCGCCACCUCCACCA
RNAcentral lists this transfer-messenger RNA (356 nucleotides) under Halanaerobiales. Its description in RNAcentral is "JAAYLO01 sp012521855 Standard tmRNA". It matches the Rfam family "transfer-messenger RNA". From Rfam's summary of the family: Bacterial tmRNA, also known as 10Sa RNA or SsrA, is named for its dual tRNA and mRNA-like properties. The record is from RNAcentral. RNAcentral also lists the same sequence under 1 other name. Lineage: Bacteria; Bacillati; Bacillota; Clostridia.